This 283-nucleotide long non-coding RNA is filed under the name Brassica napus (rape). RNAcentral's name for it is "long non-coding RNA (BNAP_LNC008978)". Lineage: Eukaryota; Viridiplantae; Streptophyta; Magnoliopsida; Brassicales; Brassicaceae. The record is from RNAcentral.
UUAAGACAGUCCACACCUUUUUACUUUUUUUAGUGAACACUAUUGCUCUAUUGGAUUUCGAAUUUUAGAAUUGUUAGAUGUGAUGUGAUGGACAUGUCUUGAACAAAUCAUGAAUCAAACCGUAAUGUUAUACAUAACAUAUUUUUCAACUAUUUUGGGAAGGCAUAAGUCAUUAAGCUACGCCGACUUGAGAGAGGCCUUUUAAACGGCUACGGAACGAAUAGCGAUGGGACCAUGCGUUUGAAUUAAAUCCUCAGAUUACGAUAUUGCACCACCACAAACA